AAAACCCCCGCUUAGUUGAUGUGUUGUCUGAACAAGACAUCAACACCUGUCUUUAAACAUAAAAUUAAAAGGAAAAAGACAUAAAACUAAUAAAACUACCUAAAUUAAAUCAUUUGUACAAAAUACAUUCUCUCUCCCCGUUCUUCCCCCUUUCUCAGCGAGCGAACCCUAGGUUCCAAUUCGGCCGAUUUCAUCCUUAAAUUUGUGCGCUAAAGAUCUCAGAGUUCAGUUCGAGUGUGGAGUUUGUGGGUUUAGUGGGUGCUCGUACUUCAGUUCGAGUUUGGAGUCUGUGGGGUUUGGAGUUCGAGCUCGGAGUCUGUUCAAGCUCUGUUCAAGUCUAUUCAAGCUCUGUUCGAGUUGGAGGAGGUAGUACUUUGGGGACAACAUGGACAAGUCAUGGAUUGCGAAAGAUAGGGAUUCACUAGAAUAUGAAAUGGGGGUCGAGCAGUUUUUGAUAUUUGCUGAGGAGAACUCUUGUGACCCCAAAAAAAUCCCCUGUCCUUGUUCACGUUGUGUCAACUUCAAGAAAU
This is a long non-coding RNA of Daucus carota subsp. sativus, 530 nucleotides long. RefSeq lists it as uncharacterized. NCBI's taxonomy places the organism in Eukaryota, Viridiplantae, Streptophyta, Magnoliopsida, Apiales, Apiaceae. The transcript is spliced from 3 exons. The record is from RefSeq and is a predicted model, not a curated record.